UUCCUUCAUUAACCAAUUCAUCUCUUCUCACAAAGAUACAAGGGAACCUCUGUCUAUUCAUAACUUGAAAAUAGACCAUCUUUGUAGGUCAUUCCAAGGCAAAGUGCAUGAAAGGAAGUGAUUUGGACGGCAAAAUGAGAUCAGGAUUGGGAGUCCAGAAACUAGGUUCCAGUCUCAGAUCUUGGAUUCAUAAGUUCUGUGAAACUGAGCAAGCUGCUUCAUUUCUCCGGGCCUAAAUCUCCUCAUCUAUAACCAGGGCAGACAUUCUUCUCCAAACAUGCCUUAAAACAAAAGAAGGGACGUUGCACACCUGGCUGGCAUCAAGCCUACAAGGCUGGCAGGAGAUUCGGAUCCCAGCUCUGCCAAAUCAGAGUCUGACAAGGACGACCCUCCUCUCAGCUUCCUCAACUGUAAAGUGAGCUUCACCAUGCCUUCCGCAGAGAGUGUUACGGGACGUUUACAACUUGAAUAUAUUUGAAGCCAUUGGCACAUAGUAAUUCUCUACACCCAUCACGGGGCUCGAACUCACGACCCUGAGAUCAAGAGUUGCACGCUCUACAGACUGAUGCAGCCAGGCGCCCCUCUCCUUCUCCUAUUUAAGACAAUAUGCCAAGUGGGACCAGGAUAUGAAACCAUAUGAGUCAUGCCCUUGGGGAUCCCAGUGAAGGAGACAGUUUUGAUGAGCAUGAUUUCCAAAUGGAUUCAGGGAGGAGGGAAUGAAAAAUCGAUGUCGAUGACACAGAGGUCAGAAACAUUUGGCUGGAGGCGCUAGUAACCAAGUGCAAAAGAAGGUUUCCCAAAGCAUGGCUUAUGGGCUACUCACAUAAGUACCUGAGGAAGCUAAAUGCAAUUCAGUUUCCAGCUCCUUCUCUAAUUUUACUAAGAAUUUGAGAACAGACUCCAGAAGCAAUUUUGUUGACCAAGAGCACCCAACAGAAUUGGCAACGAGAAGAGCGUGGCGCAGUACCCGGGAAGCGUUAAAUGCUAGAAAGCUCCGUAGGUGAUGCUGACAGAUGAUACUGUUGCAGAAGCAAGCUGGGAAAGAUUGGAGGGGAAAGCCCAGCAGUUUUGCAUGAGAAGAGCAAGUUUAAGUCUCUAGUGAAAUAGUCGGAAACAUCUCUGCCAACUGUGAACAAGGAAGCACGGAUCACAGGGGAGAAAAAUCCGGGAGCAACCCGGGAAGUGAAGAAUUCCAGAUGCUGGACGCCACCUGGGUUUCUCCACGUCUGCCUCUGUCUCAGCCAGUCCAUUGCCUUCCCAGACCUUCUGCUGCUUCUAGAAGCCUCUCGACUGCGCUGUGCGAUUAGGCACAUGGAACCUUCGCUUCCGUGCCGGCGUCUUGAUGCUUCCCUGGGUUUUACCUAGGAACUGAGUCACCGGUCCCUUUGACCUCAGAGUCUCCAGAUGUCCCUUGGGCUUCUUCUGCCCCAUGUUCUAGAAGCACGGAAGGGCUGCUUACGUUCAAAUAUCCCUGUGAGGCUAAAUCACGGUCCGCGUGUUGGACAGCAAAGGCAGGUUCCGUGAGAGCACCGGGAGUGCUUUCCUGAUCAUCCCUGUAUCCUCAGAACUGACCGAAAUGCCUGCAACAGAGCAGGAAGUGAAGAGAUGAAUGUUGAGGUACCAAAUGUGGCAGUUCCUCCUGGGGGAGGAAUGCUUUACAUCACUUUCCCAGAAGAGCUGUGAACCUGCUUAAGGAUUAAAUCGUCAGCAUUGCACGAGUUUGCACAUACAUGCCACAGAGUUUAAAGAUGAGAAGACUGAGGCACAGAGUUAUUAAAAAUCUUGCCUAACUGUUGGGGAUUUACCCCAAAGAUACAGAUGCAGUGAAACGCCGGGACACCUGCACCCCGAUGUUUAUAGCAGCA
Long non-coding RNA from Canis lupus familiaris (dog), 1865 nucleotides. RefSeq lists it as uncharacterized. The record is from RefSeq and is a predicted model, not a curated record. The transcript is spliced from 11 exons. Lineage: Eukaryota; Metazoa; Chordata; Mammalia; Carnivora; Canidae.